Molecule: ribosomal RNA, 246 nt
Filed under: uncultured bacterium
Lineage: Bacteria
Description: partial small subunit ribosomal RNA
Rfam family: Bacterial small subunit ribosomal RNA
Source: RNAcentral
AGAAUCAACGCUGGCGGCGCGCUUAACACAUGCAAGUCGAGCGAGAAAGGGGAGCAAUCCCUGAGUACAGCGGCGUACGGGUGAGUAACACGUGGGUAAUCUGCCUUCUAGUGGGGGAUAACCCUGGGAAACCGGGGCUAAUACCGCAUAAGCCUGUGAAGGGAAAGCGAGCAAUCGCGCUGGAAGAGGAGCCCGCGGCCGAUUAGCUAGUUGGUGGGGUAACGGCCACCAAGGCGAUGAUCGGUA